AGCCUCUAAGUUAUGUGUGACAACCCCCUGAAUUUAAGCAUAUUAAUAAGGGGAGGAAAAGAAACCAACCGGGAUUCCCUGAGUAGCUGCGAGCGAAACGGGAGAAGCUCAGCACGUAGGGAUGGCGGCCCGCCCGUCUAUCCGAUUCCGUGUACUGGUACGUCUCACUAUCCGUCUUCCUAGUGGUAUUCAAGUCCAACUUGAACGUGGCUUUGAACCCAUAGAGGGUGAUAGGCCCGUAGAACACCACCCAGCGGUUGAUGG
Molecule: non-coding RNA, 264 nt
Filed under: Anopheles sinensis
Lineage: Eukaryota; Metazoa; Arthropoda; Insecta; Diptera; Culicidae
Description: Eukaryotic large subunit ribosomal RNA
Rfam family: Eukaryotic large subunit ribosomal RNA
Source: Rfam by way of RNAcentral